AAUAGAUACCCGGGUAGUCCACGCUGUAAACGAUGAGGACUGGAUGUGCGCAGGCAAAAGCCUAUGCGUAUCGAAGCUAACGCGUUAAGUUCUCCGCCUGGGGAGUACGGUCGCAAAGAUUAAAACUCAAAGGAAGUUGACGGGGGCCCGCACAAGCGGUGGAGCAUGUGGUUUAAUUCGAUGCAACGCGAAGAACCUUACCUACCCUUGACAUGCCACUAAACCUGCUUAAGAGGUAGGGGUGCCGAAAGGAAAGUGGACACAGGUGCUGCAUGGCUGUCGUCAGCUCGUGUCGUAAGAUGUUGGGUUAAGUCCCGUAACGAGCGCAACCCUUGUCCUUCGUUGCCAUUCUGCAAAGAGGAACUCGAAGGAGACUGCCGGUGAUAAACCGGAGGAAGGUGGGGAUGGACGUCAAGUCAUCAUGGCCUUUAUGGGUAGGGCUACACACGUGCUACAAUGGGCGUUACAGAGGGUUGCGAAGCUGUGAAGCGGAGCCAAGUCUUGGAAAAGCGCUCGUAGUCCGGAUCAGAGUCUGC
This 536-nucleotide ribosomal RNA is filed under the name uncultured bacterium. RNAcentral's name for it is "bacterial SSU rRNA". It matches the Rfam family "Bacterial small subunit ribosomal RNA", at positions 777 to 1308 of the family's 1533-position model. The record is from RNAcentral.